Molecule: unclassified non-coding RNA, 77 nt
Filed under: Flavobacterium fryxellicola
Lineage: Bacteria; Pseudomonadati; Bacteroidota; Flavobacteriia; Flavobacteriales; Flavobacteriaceae
Description: Flavo-1 RNA
Source: RNAcentral
UACUAGCAGCGAGGUAAUAGUAAAAAUCUUCUCUUAAUUUCUUUUGAGAGCGAUUGUAAUAGAUAGGCUGACCAUGC